RNAcentral lists this transfer RNA (63 nucleotides) under Segonzacia mesatlantica. RNAcentral describes it as "tRNA-Asp". The record is from RNAcentral. Lineage: Eukaryota; Metazoa; Arthropoda; Malacostraca; Decapoda; Bythograeidae.
AAGAAAUUAGUUAAUUUAUAACCCUGACUUGUCAUGUCAGAAUAAUCUUCAAGAUAUUUCUUA